This 92-nucleotide transfer RNA is filed under the name Rhodospirillaceae bacterium. Its description in RNAcentral is "tRNA-Ser". It matches the Rfam family "tRNA". From Rfam's summary of the family: Transfer RNA (tRNA) molecules are approximately 80 nucleotides in length. Their secondary structure includes four short double-helical elements and three loops (D, anti-codon, and T loops). Lineage: Bacteria; Pseudomonadati; Pseudomonadota; Alphaproteobacteria; Rhodospirillales; Rhodospirillaceae. The record is from RNAcentral.
GGAGGGGUGGCCGAGCGGUUGAAGGCGCGCGCCUGGAAAGCGCGUAUAGGGUUAACGCCCUAUCGUGGGUUCGAAUCCCACUCCCUCCGCCA